AACUUUUAUAUAUAGUAACUUCAAAAAAUAAAACGUUUUGCGGUAUACCGCGGGUUAAAAUCUAACUAUACUUAUAAUACAUAUAAUAAUACCAAAAUCGUUGCUA
RNAcentral lists this small RNA (106 nucleotides) under Arabidopsis thaliana (thale cress). Its description in RNAcentral is "ATSL256930". The record is from RNAcentral. Lineage: Eukaryota; Viridiplantae; Streptophyta; Magnoliopsida; Brassicales; Brassicaceae.